GUGAACGCUGGCGGUAGGCCUAACACAUGCCAGUCGAACGGCAGCACCGUAAGAGCUUGCUCUUACGGGUGGCGAGUGGCGGACGGGUGAGGAAUACAUCGGAAUCUACUUUUUCGUGGGGGAUAACGUAGGGAAACUUACGCUAAUACCGCAUACGACCUACGGGUGAAAGCAGGGGAUCUUCGGACCUUGCGCGAUUGAAUGAGCCGAUGUCGGAUUAGCUAGUUGGCGGGGUAAAGGCCCACCAAGGCGACGAUCCGUAGCUGGUCUGAGAGGAUGAUCAGCCACACUGGAACUGAGACACGGUCCAGACUCCUACGGGAGGCAGCAGUGGGGAAUAUUGGACAAUGGGCGCAAGCCUGAUCCAGCCAUACCGCGUGGGUGAAGAAGGCCUUCGGGUUGUAAAGCCCUUUUGUUGGGAAAGAAAGGCAGCAGGUUAAUACCCCGCUGUUCUGACGGUACCCAAAGAAUAAGCACCGGCUAACUUCGUG
RNAcentral lists this ribosomal RNA (491 nucleotides) under uncultured bacterium. RNAcentral's name for it is "partial 16S ribosomal RNA". It matches the Rfam family "Bacterial small subunit ribosomal RNA", at positions 29 to 507 of the family's 1533-position model. The record is from RNAcentral.